CCAGCCCGUGACCGUCAGGGGCGGGAAGACGGAGGCCUCAAGCGUUACCCGGGAGCACUGGGCGGAAAGGGGGUGCAGGCGGCUGAGUGAGUCGCGCGUAAAAGCCCGCGGGCUGAACCCGGGGAAUGCGUGCGAAACGGCUGAGCUUAGAGGAUGGGAGAGGUGUGCGAAACUCAAGGUGUAGGGGUGAAAUCCGUUGAUAUCUUGGGGAACACCAAAUGCGAAGGCAGCACACUGGCGCAUUCCUGACGCUGAGACACGAAAGCGUGGGUAGCGAACGGGAUUAGAUACCCGGGUAGUC
Molecule: ribosomal RNA, 301 nt
Filed under: uncultured Ignicoccus sp.
Lineage: Archaea; Thermoproteati; Thermoproteota; Thermoprotei; Desulfurococcales; Desulfurococcaceae
Description: bacterial SSU rRNA
Rfam family: Bacterial small subunit ribosomal RNA
Source: RNAcentral